RNAcentral lists this ribosomal RNA (253 nucleotides) under uncultured bacterium. RNAcentral's name for it is "partial 16S ribosomal RNA". It matches the Rfam family "Bacterial small subunit ribosomal RNA", at positions 524 to 776 of the family's 1533-position model. The record is from RNAcentral.
UACGAAGGGGGCUAGCGUUGUUCGGAAUCACUGGGCGUAAAGCGCACGCAGGCGGCUAAAUAAGUCAGGGGUGAAAUCCCGGAGCUCAACCUCGGAAUUGCCUUUGAUACUGUUUAUCUCGAGUUCGGGAGAGGUUGGCGGAAUUCCUAGUGUAGAGGUGAAAUUCGUAGAUAUUAGGAAGAACACCAGUGGCGAAGGCGGCCAACUGGCCCGAUACUGACGCUCAUGUGCGAAAGCGUGGGGAGCAAACAGG